Molecule: long non-coding RNA, 511 nt
Organism: Salvia miltiorrhiza (redroot sage)
Lineage: Eukaryota; Viridiplantae; Streptophyta; Magnoliopsida; Lamiales; Lamiaceae
Exons: 2
Source: RefSeq, a predicted model, not a curated record
UAAUUCUACCAAGAACUCACGCACACCCCAUCCCUUCUCUUCCCCAUUCUCGACCCCCCCCCCCCCCUCCCCCCCAUCUCUCUCUCAAUACUAUAUUUUCCUCCAUUGUUGUCCAUUGAAGAAAGCUUAGAGAAGCUUCAUCAAACACUACUAUGAAAUAAUCCACCAUCCAAUCCAAUCAAAUACUAGCAUAUCUCAUCAAAUUCAAGAAGCUAGAGCUAAGAUCAAAGUUGGAGCAAAGUCUUGAUCACCUUUUAAAUCCCUGAGAUAAGCGGAGGGGAAGUAUGGUGCGGUGCUGGUGGGGAAUGUUUCGGGUUGACGUUUUCUUUCUCUAUCAUAUGUCUGUUUUGUCGAUAGAGUUUUGAUAUGAAGUUAUGUUAUAUUAAAUCAAGCAGUUUACUCACGAUUAUGUGUCUUCAUACAUAUAGUCAGUUCACCUUUUGUUAUCACACUCUGAAUAUUAUGACUCUACAUAAAAAUUGAGCUAUACUUGUUUUGCUUUUCAUGUUGA